GAUGAACGCUGGCGGUCUGCUUAACACAUGCAAGUCGAACGAACUCUUCGGAGUGAGUGGCGGACGGGUGAGUAACGCGUGAGAAUCUGCCUGUGGGUCGGGGACAACCACUGGAAACGGUGGCUAAUACCGGAUGAGCCGAAAGGUAAAAGAUUUAUUGCCCACAGAUGAGCUCGCGUCUGAUUAGCUAGUUGGUAAGGUAAAAGCGUACCAAGGCGACGAUCAGUAGCUGGUCUGAGAGGAUGAGCAGCCACACUGGGACUGAGACACGGCCCAGACUCCUACGGGAGGCAGCAGUGGGGAAUUUUCCGCAAUGGGCGAAAGCCUGACGGAGCAAGACCGCGUGGGGGAGGAAGGCCUUCGGGUCGUAAACCUCUGUCACCGGGGAGCAACAAGCAGGUUGAUAGCCUGCCCCUGAGUUUAACCCGGAGAGGAAGCAGUGGCUAACUCCGUGCCAGCAGCCGCGGUAAU
This 471-nucleotide ribosomal RNA is filed under the name uncultured bacterium. RNAcentral describes it as "bacterial SSU rRNA". It matches the Rfam family "Bacterial small subunit ribosomal RNA", at positions 28 to 524 of the family's 1533-position model. The record is from RNAcentral.